GACGAACGCUGGCGGCGUGCCUAAUACAUGCAAGUAGAACGCUGAAGGAGGAGCUUGCUUCUCUGGAUGAGUUGCGAACGGGUGAGUAACGCGUAGGUAACCUGCCUGGUAGCGGGGGAUAACUAUUGGAAACGAUAGCUAAUACCGCAUAACAGUAGAUAUCGCAUGAUAUCUACUUGAAAGGUGCAAUUGCAUCACUACCAGAUGGACCUGCGUUGUAUUAGCUAGUUGGUGAGGUAACGGCUCACCAAGGCGACGAUACAUAGCCGACCUGAGAGGGUGAUCGGCCACACUGGGACUGAGACACGGCCCAGACUCCUACGGGAGGCAGCAGUAGGGAAUCUUCGGCAAUGGACGGAAGUCUGACCGAGCAACGCCGCGUGAGUGAAGAAGGUUUUCGGAUCGUAAAGCUCUGUUGUAAGAGAAGAACGAGUGUGAGAGUGGAAAGUUCACACUGUGACGGUAUCUUACCAGAAAGAGACGGCUAACUACGUG
RNAcentral lists this ribosomal RNA (495 nucleotides) under uncultured bacterium. RNAcentral describes it as "partial 16S ribosomal RNA". It matches the Rfam family "Bacterial small subunit ribosomal RNA", at positions 28 to 507 of the family's 1533-position model. The record is from RNAcentral.